Molecule: ribosomal RNA, 373 nt
Filed under: uncultured bacterium
Lineage: Bacteria
Description: bacterial SSU rRNA
Rfam family: Bacterial small subunit ribosomal RNA
Source: RNAcentral
GUAGGUGACCAGCGUUGUCCGGAUUUACUGGGCGUAAAGAGCGCGCAGGCGGUCGUUCAAGUCGAGUGUGAAAGCCCCCGGCUCAACUGGGGAGGGUCACUCGAUACUGAUCGACUUGAAGGCAGGAGAGGGAAGCGGAAUUCCCGGUGUAGUGGUGAAAUGCGUAGAUAUCGGGAGGAACACCAGUGGCGAAGGCGGCUUCCUGGCCUGUUCUUGACGCUGAGGCGCGAAAGCUAGGGGAGCAAACGGGAUUAGAUACCCCGGUAGUCCUAGCCGUAAACGAUGGACACUAGGUGUUGGUGGUAUCAACCCCACCAGUGCCGAAGCUAACGCAUUAAGUGUCCCGCCUGGGGAGUACGGCCGCAAGGCUAAA